This 74-nucleotide transfer RNA is filed under the name bacterium. RNAcentral describes it as "tRNA-Val". It matches the Rfam family "tRNA". From Rfam's summary of the family: Transfer RNA (tRNA) molecules are approximately 80 nucleotides in length. Their secondary structure includes four short double-helical elements and three loops (D, anti-codon, and T loops). The record is from RNAcentral.
GGGCGAUUAGCUCAGUUGGCUAGAGCGACUCAUUUACACUGAGUAGGCCAGGGGUUCGAAUCCUCUAUCGCCCA